UCAGGCCUAACACAUGCAAGUCGAGCGCUCUCUUCGGAGGGAGCGGCGGACGGGUGAGUAACGCGUGGGAACGUGCCCUUCUCUAUGGAAUAGCCACUGGAAACGGUGAGUAAUACCAUAUACGCCCUUCGGGGGAAAGAUUUAUCGGAGAAGGAUCGGCCCGCGUUAGAUUAGGUAGUUGGUGGGGUAAUGGCCUACCAAGCCUACGAUCUAUAGCUGGUUUUAGAGGAUGAUCAGCCACACUGGGACUGAGACACGGCCCAGACUCCUACGGGAGGCAGCAGUGGGGAAUCUUAGACAAUGGGCGCAAGCCUGAUCUAGCCAUGCCGCGUGAGUGAUGAAGGCCUUAGGGUCGUAAAGCUCUUUCGCCAGAGAUGAUAAUGACAGUAUCUGGUAAAGAAACCCCGGCUAACUCCGUGCCAGCAGCCGCGGUAAUACGGAGGGGGUUAGCGUUGUUCGGAAUUACUGGGCGUAAAGCGCACGUAGGCGGAUUAGAAAGUUAGGGGUGAAAUCCCGGGGCUCAACCUCGGAACUGCCUCUAAAACUCCUAGUCUAGAGUUCGAGAGAGGUGAGUGGAAUUCCAAGUGUAGAGGUGAAAUUCGUAGAUAUUUGGAGGAACACCAGUGGCGAAGGCGGCUCACUGGCUCGAUACUGACGCUGAGGUGCGAAAGUGUGGGGAGCAAACAGGAUUAGAUACCCU
This 700-nucleotide ribosomal RNA is filed under the name uncultured bacterium. Its description in RNAcentral is "bacterial SSU rRNA". It matches the Rfam family "Bacterial small subunit ribosomal RNA", at positions 42 to 788 of the family's 1533-position model. The record is from RNAcentral.